GACGAACGCUGGCGGCGUGCUUAACACAUGCAAGUCGAACGGAAAGGCCCUGCUUUUGUGGGGUGCUCGAUUGGCGAACGGGUGAGUAACACGUGAGUAACCUGCCCUUGACUUUGGGAUAACUUCAGGAAACUGGGGCUAAUACCGGAUAGGAGCUCCUGCUGCAUGGUGGGGGUUGGAAAGUUUCGGCGGUUGGGGAUGGACUCGCGGCUUAUCAGCUUGUUGGUGGGGUAGUGGCUUACCAAGGCUUUGACGGGUAGCCGGCCUGAGAGGGUGACCGGCCACAUUGGGACUGAGAUACGGCCCAGACUCCUACGGGAGGCAGCAGUGGGGAAUAUUGCACAAUGAGCGGAAGCCUGAUGCAGCAACGCCGCGUGCGGGAUGACGGCCUUCGGGUUGUAAACCGCUUUCGCCUGUGACGAAGCGUGAGUGACGGUAAUGGGUAAAGAAGCACCGGCUAACUACGUG
RNAcentral lists this ribosomal RNA (468 nucleotides) under uncultured bacterium. RNAcentral's name for it is "partial 16S ribosomal RNA". It matches the Rfam family "Bacterial small subunit ribosomal RNA", at positions 28 to 507 of the family's 1533-position model. The record is from RNAcentral.